GAUGAACGCUGGCGGCGUGCCUAACACAUGCAAGUCGAGCGAUUCUCUUCGGAGAAGAGCGGCGGACGGGUGAGUAACGCGUGGGUAACCUGCCCUGUACACACGGAUAACAUACCGAAAGGUAUGCUAAUACGAGAUAAUAUACUUUAUCGCAUGGUAGAAGUAUCAAAGCUCCGGCGGUACAGGAUGGACCCGCGUCUGAUUAGCUAGUUGGCAAGGUAACGGCUUACCAAGGCGACGAUCAGUAGCCGACCUGAGAGGGUGAUCGGCCACAUUGGAACUGAGACACGGUCCAAACUCCUACGGGAGGCAGCAGUGGGGAAUAUUGCACAAUGGGCGAAAGCCUGAUGCAGCAACGCCGCGUGAGCGAUGAAGGCCUUCGGGUCGUAAGGCUCUGUCCUCAAGGAAGAUAAUGACGGUACUUG
Molecule: ribosomal RNA, 425 nt
Filed under: uncultured bacterium
Lineage: Bacteria
Description: bacterial SSU rRNA
Rfam family: Bacterial small subunit ribosomal RNA
Source: RNAcentral